RNAcentral lists this non-coding RNA (23 nucleotides) under Arabidopsis thaliana (thale cress). Lineage: Eukaryota; Viridiplantae; Streptophyta; Magnoliopsida; Brassicales; Brassicaceae. The record is from RNAcentral.
CAACGAUCGUUGUCUUAUGUUGC